CUUCUAAGGGAAUUGUAUGGAUUUUAUCAAUAAUUAAUUUCAAAGGAUAAGCUGUUUAAUAUCGCUGAAACUGGUAUGAGCAUCUGUGUUGGUGUUCACUUAGUUUGAGACUUGUCUAGCAGUCGCAACAGAUUUUCAUAGAUUUUGCACAUACAGCUUGAUUAGGUGUUGUAUAUCUUACCAGUGUUUCUCUUUCAGACUGUAAAUGGAUACAUCUUAUUUUUUGAUCUCCUGUCAGCAAGAGAAAAAUAUAUUUAUGAGCCUGUGUAUCCCAAAGCCGCUAUGUGGAGCCUCACGGUAUUGCUUUUGCUCUCUGCAUGCUAUGUAUCAAGGAACAUGACGUGCUGGACACCCCUGCCCUCCAGCCACACCGAAGCUCUUCCUUGUCUACUACAUCACAUAAGCAACUGGACUGGUGGAGUUUGCACCACCCUUGUCUUACAGGACAUGGGACUAGGGGUGGAGCCCGAUGGCAAGACAUCUUUGAGGGAUCCUAGCUCUAAUGCAACUGCUUUUUGACACUUAUUCUCACAACCAAUAUUUGCUUUAUUUGUCAUUACUCUUGCAUUAUUAACUGUAGUAAUCACUUUGUACAUAAGAAUCGUUCUAGUAGCCAAAAAGCUUACUGAUAUAAUCUGCAGCUUCCAAUAUCUUCAGGAGGAGUCAACUGUACGUGGAUCAAGGGCUGGAAUAUAGUGAUCCUAAUCGGAAGACUAUUGUACAUCAAGGAGUUAGUGAUCCACAACAGUUAACCUGAGUAGGUGCAGGCUUGUGCUGUGCUGUGCUGCUAUAUGUUAUAGCUUGGUCUUCUGGCCUGUGUUGUGCUACGGGGAUCCCUUGGCCACCUUUCCACAGAUGGGAUCUGCACAGUGUGCUGCACCCUGAUUUGAGGCCCGUUAGAUGCUGCACAACUUGAGGUUCCCAGCAUCUGAAGGGAUGUAAGAUUAUCUAUACUAAUCCUCUUCCCUUGUAGCGUUAGCUCUAAUAACUGGCAUUUUAAGUGACACUUUAAAGAGUCUGAGUGCCUUUCUUACUGGGAUCAUAAUGAACCAGCACCUCCUGGUGCAAAACAACAGGCUACGCUAUCCCAAUGUUUUCCUUCACAGACUAACCAUUCUUGUUUCAUUACUGGCAAAGUGGUCAGUUGCAUGCUCUUGCAGGUAGCAGCCAAAGAGGCAUUCUGGACACCAGUAGAAAUAGUCUUAGAUCAGUUUCUCACUACUUCCCAGGUCUUUCUUUCUAUUUCUUAUCGGAUAGCAGCUUUGGCUAAUUCCUCAAAGUGCUAAGAGGUUAGUUGCCCAACCAGUUGCAGCUGGGAUUAGAGGACUUGGAUAUCCAUGGUGUUUAGGGCAGCUCCUCCAAGUCCUGGCAUUCCCAAUAUGUCUCUCUUAGUUCUUCUGUGAAUGUCGUGUUCAGGGAACAUGGCACGUUGAAUCCCAAUAAUAAAAGGGGUAUAGGUGGCACUGUGUCAACUUAGAUUCCAAUCCCACCUGAUGUGGUAUUCUCUCUUAUCGGGUUACCCCAAAUAAAGUCUGCUACUUUCCUGUGGUCAAACAUAAUGGAGGGUGGUGGUCCAGAUUGUGUUCUUUGCCAAGAUUACACCAUAGUUAGUUCACUAGUUUGGUUUGUGUUUCUUCCCUUAGAUAAGGUCUCAUUAUAUUUAAAUUCUAAUCUUAGAUUGUUUUGGGUCCAUUUAUAAAUACUUGUGAAGUUGGUGGUCCAAUUAAGUCUAGUCAUUAUACCAAUGAGAUAGUCCUUUAUGUUCACUAAUAUAUUCUACAUACCCAGCUCCAUUUUUACCUGCUCCACUCUGGCUGCUAUUCCUAGCUAAAGUUAACUGGGUUGUAUUACCUUUAGGGACUAUUAUCCAGUGCAUCCCUGCCCCAUAUGUGGCAAUAUACUCCCCUUCAAUUUCCCACCAUAUCGCAAAUCUUUUAAUAGUUUGUUACAGUUCGUUUCAUAUUAUUCACUCUCAUUCUGUGGUGGCAUGGUAGCUUGUGGCCAGCACUGGGGGGGAUUGUUUGUGCCACUGUUAUGAGUCAGAGUCACUGUCAGAGUCCAGACUGCUGUCCAUACCAAAAUAGGGUUUAUCUUCCUGUAUAUAAAAAUAUUCACAAAGGGUUAAUUACAGUCAACGUGUGUGUGUGUGUGUGUGUGUGUGUGUGUGGAUAAACAUUUAAUUUCUCCUUUUUGUAACAGUACCCAUGCUGUAUGUCCCGGGCCAUGUGCAAAUACUACCCCCUCUCUGUGGUUUCCCUUUCCCUAAAGGGGGGUGACAGCCCAAACCUUUGUUCCCAUCCAAUCAUGGCCUGUCACAACAGGAACUUUAUCGCCAUCUACUGUUCUGACAGGUUUAGCCUGGGCCAGGCCUGGUCAGGAUGCUGCCCCUUGAGUGUUCACAAGCCAAGCGGCUUCUGCCAAAUUAAUAAAUAUCCCAGUUUCUCACA
Molecule: non-coding RNA, 2447 nt
Organism: Struthio camelus australis
Lineage: Eukaryota; Metazoa; Chordata; Aves; Struthioniformes; Struthionidae
Source: RefSeq, a predicted model, not a curated record